UACGGGGGGGGCAAGCGUUGUUCGGAAUUACUGGGCGUAAAGGGCUCGUAGGCGGCCAACUAAGUCAGACGUGAAAUCCCUCGGCUUAACCGGGGAACUGCGUCUGAUACUGGAUGGCUUGAGUUUGGGAGAGGGAUGCGGAAUUCCAGGUGUAGCGGUGAAAUGCGUAGAUAUCUGGAGGAACACCGGUGGCGAAGGCGGCAUCCUGGACCAACACUGACGCUGAGUGAGCGAAAGCGUGGGGAGCAAACAGG
This 254-nucleotide ribosomal RNA is filed under the name uncultured bacterium. RNAcentral's name for it is "partial 16S ribosomal RNA". It matches the Rfam family "Bacterial small subunit ribosomal RNA", at positions 524 to 776 of the family's 1533-position model. The record is from RNAcentral.